CACUUGGGAGACCCACGUGCUUUUGGCAUGUGUGUUAGUCAGAGAUAUUCUACGGUUUCUUUCAGUGACGUGUUAGAAUCUUUUCCGUUUCCUUUUUUGGAGGGUGUUUGAGCACCCAGGCGUGGAUAUUGCUGUUUUCACAUUUGGACGGCAACAUGCAUACGCAUUUUCCCCAUGUCUCCUGCUCCUUGCCGCUCGUGGCAACAAGCUCUGACAGGCCCAGAACGAAAGCGAAAAUUGCAGCACACAGUUUCCAGUCUCAUCUUUACGGCCAACUUCCCAGAGGCACUGGUGUGUCCCUGUGUGAUCAUUCCUGUUUCCAGCAAUCUACUUCUGAGGGUCCUCAUACCACUGUAGUGCAUAUUUCCCGUGUCUUGGGAAGUGGAGGACAAGAAAACAACAACAAACACUCAGAUGUGGGCAGUUCUCAUCCUUGUUCAACACCCUCCAGAGGCUCCUGAAGAUACGAGGACUUUCAUGAGCUGGUCUUGGCCUGCUUCCUUAGCAGCCACCCCAUUGCUCUGGCCGCCCCAGAUCCUCUAGCAACGUAGAUUUGUGACUCUCCGUGCACAUCCCAACGCGCAUUGUUUUCAUCACUUCCUGUCGUCCCGAUGCUGGGGGAGGGAUUCUGCCCACUGGUUCUGUCAGCAGGAUAGAUAGCUGCUAGGGUAGGAGGAAGGGGAGGGGUGGAGAGGGGAGUUUAUCUCACUCCUGAACAAAGAAGUCAGCAGUCAAUAAAAUCACCAGAUAGUCUCAUAAAUCCUGGGAAAAACUACAACAAUGUAAAAGGGGGACUUUGAAAUCUAGUCUGUUGCCCAAGAUAUCCAGUGGGGGAAAGUAUAAAACCCUUGAACCGCCGCCGACAAGCUGAGGUGCCUGCUUGUGCUUUAUGCCAACUGUAUUCUUAAUAAAUUCAGUUGCUUUGCUUCCUUA
Molecule: long non-coding RNA, 933 nt
Organism: Myotis lucifugus (little brown bat)
Lineage: Eukaryota; Metazoa; Chordata; Mammalia; Chiroptera; Vespertilionidae
Exons: 3
Source: RefSeq, a predicted model, not a curated record